AUUGAACGCUGGCGGCAGGCCUAACACAUGCAAGUCGAGCGGAUGAAGGGAGCUUGCUCCUGGAUUCAGCGGCGGACGGGUGAGUAAUGCCUAGGAAUCUGCCUGGUAGUGGGGGAUAACGUCCGGAAACGGGCGCUAAUACCGCAUACGUCCUGAGGGAGAAAGUGGGGGAUCUUCGGACCUCACGCUAUCAGAUGAGCCUAGGUCGGAUUAGCUAGUUGGUGGGGUAAAGGCCUACCAAGGCGACGAUCCGUAACUGGUCUGAGAGGAUGAUCAGUCACACUGGAACUGAGACACGGUCCAGACUCCUACGGGAGGCAGCAGUGGGGGAUAUUGGACAAUGGGCGAAAGCCUGAUCCAGCCAUGCCGCGUGUGUGAAGAAGGUCUUCGGAUUGCAAAGCACUUUAAGUUGGGAGGAAGGGCAGUAAGUUAAUACCUUGCUGUUUUGACGUUACCAACAGAAUAAGCACCGGCUAACUUCGUG
This 484-nucleotide ribosomal RNA is filed under the name uncultured bacterium. RNAcentral's name for it is "partial 16S ribosomal RNA". It matches the Rfam family "Bacterial small subunit ribosomal RNA", at positions 30 to 507 of the family's 1533-position model. The record is from RNAcentral.